UACUGCACCUCUGAACUCUAAGCUUUCAUCUUUUCAGCAGGCUAAUUUAGAGGGCAGAUUCAAGAGAAGUCUGAUUAUUCUUCCUUUUGUGAAAUAUCGGGGAGUGCCUUACAGAUCCACUGCUAUACAUUCAGAGAUCUAUCAGUAGAUCCCUAAGUAUUUUCUACCUAUUACUGCUAUAAUGGCAGGAAGUAUUACCUGCUGAAUAGUAACAGUAUUAUAACAGGGUUGCUAAAAAAAAGCAUUAAGAGAUGUAAAUUUAAUUUUGCGCAGGUUUUUUUUUCUGGAAACAUUGUCUUGCUAAUUAGAGCUUAUAAAACUUAUGCUAGACCAAUCUUAAAGUAUUGUUCUACUGUUUGGAAUCCCCACCAUAUAUCUGACAUCAAUACAAGUGAGCGGGUUCAGAAGUACUUCAUGAGAAAAGUCUUGCACUCUUCUGUGUGUAUGUGUGAAGGGGAAUGUUGCAAUGGGGAGGAGAAAAACAAAGAUACAAGAUAAAUUCUAGAUGACAGAAGGAUUGGAAGAAGAGGCCACAGACAAAGCAGCUGACUUAAAACUUAUAGUCAGACAUCAUUUAAGCCAGAGUGAAAUGAAAUCACAUUAAAUGGAAAUUGCUAGCAAGGCUGCUUUAGAGAAGGUCACUUCCCUGAAUGUCUUGCAGACAGAAGGUUGGAUGGUGUCUCCAGAUGUUUUGCUCUGGAAGUGCCAAAGUGCCAAAGAAGAGUUAAAUAACAUGCUUCUCUUCACAUUCUUUGGGGGUUUCUUUUUCUUUGUAAUAAGGAAUUGAUGGUUUUUAUUCCCUCCUCCAAGUAUUUUACAGCUGUGAUAAGAUUGGAUCAGAAGAACUUUAAUUCCCAACUGAGGUUUAAAAUUUGCUGAAUGAUCUUAGAUAAGUUGUUACCUGUCUCUGGAUUACUGAUCCAACAGUAAAAAUUUAAAUGGAAAAGCUUAUUAUAGAAGAAUAUCUGGGAUAUGUAUUUUUGCAUGCAUGCCUGUAUGUACAGUAUGUGUCUCUGCAGGUGUAUGUAUACACACACAAUUUGUCCUGUGAGACAGCCCAUACAAGAAACACAGCCAGGAGAAUCUGUAAGGUUACAUUAAAUUAUCUUGGAAGGCUAAACGUUUUGUCCAUCUCUUUGCUAAAGUAGACCUAACCAGUUCUUGUGACCAUUCAUAUGUUUUAGUCUCCCGUUCUUUAGUCAUUGUUGUUGCUAUUUUCUUGUUGCAUUCUUUCUAGAAUCUCAGCAUCUUUUUUUAUAUCAUGGUGACCAAAACUGGAUCAGUAUUCCAAGUGUGGUCUUACUAGUGCA
This is a long non-coding RNA of Ahaetulla prasina, 1310 nucleotides long. RefSeq lists it as uncharacterized. The record is from RefSeq and is a predicted model, not a curated record. The transcript is spliced from 3 exons. NCBI's taxonomy places the organism in Eukaryota, Metazoa, Chordata, Lepidosauria, Squamata, Colubridae.